CCAACCUUAGCUCAGUUGGUAGAGUAGAGGACUGUAGUGGGAAGCAUUUCAGAGAUAUCCUUAGGUCGUUGGUUUGAAUCCUGUAGGUCGGA
Molecule: transfer RNA, 92 nt
Filed under: Ipomoea nil (Japanese morning glory)
Lineage: Eukaryota; Viridiplantae; Streptophyta; Magnoliopsida; Solanales; Convolvulaceae
Rfam family: tRNA
About the family: Transfer RNA (tRNA) molecules are approximately 80 nucleotides in length.
Source: Rfam by way of RNAcentral